GAUGAACGCUGGCGGCGUGCCUAAUACAUGCAAGUAGAACGCUGAAGGAGGAGCUUGCUCUUCUGGAUGAGUUGCGAACGGGUGAGUAACGCGUAGGUAACCUGCCUGGUAGCGGGGGAUAACUAUUGGAAACGAUAGCUAAUACCGCAUAACAGUAGAUAUUGCAUGAUAUCUGCUUGAAAGGUGCAAUUGCAUCACUACCAGAUGGACCUGCGUUGUAUUAGCUAGUUGGUGAGGUAACGGCUCACCAAGGCGACGAUACAUAGCCGACCUGAGAGGGUGAUCGGCCACACUGGGACUGAGACACGGCCCAGACUCCUACGGGAGGCAGCAGUAGGGAAUCUUCGGCAAUGGACGGAAGUCUGACCGAGCAACGCCGCGUGAGUGAAGAAGGUUUUCGGAUCGUAAAGCUCUGUUGUAAGAGAAGAACGAGUGUGAGAGUGGAAAGUUCACACU
RNAcentral lists this ribosomal RNA (456 nucleotides) under Streptococcus australis. RNAcentral describes it as "bacterial SSU rRNA". It matches the Rfam family "Bacterial small subunit ribosomal RNA", at positions 28 to 470 of the family's 1533-position model. The record is from RNAcentral. Lineage: Bacteria; Bacillati; Bacillota; Bacilli; Lactobacillales; Streptococcaceae.